GUAAGGCAAAAGAGAGCUUGAUUGCAAGACAUACAGGUCGAGCAAGGAUGAAAAUCGGACUUAGUGAUCCGGUGGUUCUGCGUGGAAGGGCCAUCGCUCAACGGAUAAAAGCUACCCUGGGGAUAACAGGCUUAUCUCCCCCAAGAGUCCACAGCGACGGGGAGGUUUGGCACCUCGAUGUCGGCUCAUCACAUCCUGGGGCUGUAGUAGGUCCCAAGGGUUGGGCUGUUCGCCCAUUAAAGUGGUACGCGAGCUGGGUUCAGAACGUCGUGAGACAGUUCGGUCCCUAUCCG
RNAcentral lists this ribosomal RNA (293 nucleotides) under Clostridioides difficile. Its description in RNAcentral is "partial 23S ribosomal RNA". It matches the Rfam family "Bacterial large subunit ribosomal RNA", at positions 2352 to 2644 of the family's 2925-position model. Lineage: Bacteria; Bacillati; Bacillota; Clostridia; Peptostreptococcales; Peptostreptococcaceae. The record is from RNAcentral.